UGGGGAAUUUUGGACAAUGGGGGAAACCCUGAUCCAGCCAUCUCGCGUGUGCGAUGAAGGCCCUCGGGUUGUAAAGCACUUUUGGCAGGAAAGAAACGUCAUGGGUUAAUACCCCGUGAAACUGACGGUACCUGCAGAAUAAGCACCGGCUAACUACGUGCCAGCAGCCGCGGUAAUACGUAGGGUGCAAGCGUUAAUCGGAAUUACUGGGCGUAAAGCGUGCGCAGGCGGUUCGGAAAGAAAGAUGUGAAAUCCCAGAGCUCAACUUUGAAGCUGCAUUUUUAACUACCGGGCUAGAGUGUGUCAGAGGGAGGUGGAAUUCCGCGUGUAGCAGUGAAAUGCGUAGAUAUGCGGAGGAACACCGAUGGCGAAGGCAGCCUCCUGGGAUAACACUGACGCUCAUGCACGAAAGCGUGGGGAGCAAACAGG
RNAcentral lists this ribosomal RNA (429 nucleotides) under Acidobacteriota bacterium. Its description in RNAcentral is "Acidobacteria bacterium partial 16S ribosomal RNA". It matches the Rfam family "Bacterial small subunit ribosomal RNA", at positions 355 to 776 of the family's 1533-position model. The record is from RNAcentral. Lineage: Bacteria; Pseudomonadati; Acidobacteriota.